GGAGGGGUGCAAGCGUUGUUCGGAAUUACUGGGCGUAAAGCGCGUGUAGGGCGGCCUCUUAUGUCAGGGUGUGAAAGCCCUGGGCCCAACCCAGGAAGUGCGCCUGAAACUGAGAGGCUUGAGUACGAGAGAGGAGGACGGAAUUCCCAGUGUAGAGGUGAAAUUCGUAGAUAUUGGGAAGAACACCGGUGGCGAAAGCGGUUCUCUAGAUCGAUACUGACGCUAAGACGCGAAAGCGUGGGGAGCAAACAGGAUUAGAUACCCUGGUAGUCCACGCCGUAAACGAUGGAUACUAGUUGUUGCGAGCUUUUAAACUCGCAGUGACGACGCUAACGCAUUAAGUAUCCCGCCUGGGAAGUACGGCCGCAAGGUUA
Molecule: ribosomal RNA, 374 nt
Filed under: uncultured organism
Description: partial 16S ribosomal RNA
Rfam family: Bacterial small subunit ribosomal RNA
Source: RNAcentral